GAGUUUGAUCCUGGUUCAGGACGAACGCUGGCGGCGUGCCUAAUACAUGCAAGUCGAGCGAGCCGAACUAAUUGAUUACCUUCGGGUAUGAAGUUAGGGAAGCGAGCGGCGGAUGGGUGAGUAACACGUGGGUAACCUACCCUAUAGUCUGGGAUACCACUUGGAAACAGGUGCUAAUACCGGAUAAAAGGGGAGAUCACAUGAUUUCUUUUUGAAAGGCGGCGUAAGCUGUCGCUAAAGGAUGGACCCGCGGUGCAUUAGCUAGUUGGUAAGGUAACGGCUUACCAAGGCAACGAUGCAUAGCCGAGUUGAGAGACUGAUCGGCCACAUUGGGACUGAGACACGGCCCAAACUCCUACGGGAGGCAGCAGUAGGGAAUCUUCCACAAUGGACGCAAGUCUGAUGGAGCAACGCCGCGUGAGUGAAGAAGGUUUUCGGAUCGUAAAGCUCUGUUGUUGGUGAAGAAAGAUAGUGAGAGUAACUGCUCAUUAUUUGCCGGUAAUCAACCAGAAAGUCACGGCUAACUACGUGCCAGCAGCCGCGGUAAUACGUAGGUGGCAAGCGUUGUCCGGAUUUAUUGGGCGUAAAGCGAGCGCAGGCGGAAAGAUAAGUCAGAUGUGAAAGCCCUCGGCUUA
RNAcentral lists this ribosomal RNA (635 nucleotides) under uncultured Lactobacillus sp. RNAcentral's name for it is "bacterial SSU rRNA". It matches the Rfam family "Bacterial small subunit ribosomal RNA", at positions 9 to 611 of the family's 1533-position model. The record is from RNAcentral. Lineage: Bacteria; Bacillati; Bacillota; Bacilli; Lactobacillales; Lactobacillaceae.